UCAGACUUGAUCAGAUUUGAAUAUUUACUUCCAUCUUUAGUGUUCAUAAUACAUCUUCCUUAUUAGAUACACAUAAGAGAUUGGAAAUAUCCCUUUGCGUGAUGGUAACAUCAACACCCAUCACAAUUGAUAUGAUUUCAACUUCUUUAAACUUUUUCAGACCCAUCUCAGCUCUUGACUUCCCUUUAUUUGCUUCAUCUUCAACAAUCUUCCCUCUAUCUUCAAAAGAUGCAACAACUUAUCAUAUACCUCAACCCUAACCCAUAAAUAUUUAACCAAGUAAGAAUAGGUUUGGCCAUUAAGUAUGUCAAAAAAGUGUGUCCAACUCUGAACUUCGAAGUAUUCUUUUAGAGGAUACCCAUUUACCUCAAAAUAUUUGAAA
This 382-nucleotide long non-coding RNA is filed under the name Lathyrus oleraceus (garden pea). RNAcentral describes it as "Pisum sativum (pea) long non-coding RNA (PSAT_LNC000451)". The record is from RNAcentral. Lineage: Eukaryota; Viridiplantae; Streptophyta; Magnoliopsida; Fabales; Fabaceae.